AUUGAACGCUGGCGGCAGGCCUAACACAUGCAAGUCGAGCGGAUGAAGGGAGCUUGCUCCUGGAUUCAGCGGCGGACGGGUGAGUAAUGCCUAGGAAUCUGCCUGGUAGUGGGGGAUAACGUCCGGAAACGGGCGCUAAUACCGCAUACGUCCUGAGGGAGAAAGUGGGGGAUCUUCGGACCUCACGCUAUCAGAUGAGCCUAGGUCGGAUUAGCUAGUUGGUGGGGUAAAGGCCUACCAAGGCGACGAUCCGUAACUGGUCUGAGAGGAUGAUCAGUCACACUGGAACUGAGACACGGUACAGACUCCUACGGGAGGCGGAAGUGGGGAAUAUUGGCAAAUGGGCGGAAUCCUGAUCCAGCCAUGCCGGGUGUGUGAAGAAGGUCUUCGGAUUGUAAAGCACUUUAAGUUGGGAGGAAGGGCAGUAAGUUAAUACCUUGCUGUUUUGACGUUACCAACAGAAUAAGCACCGGCUAACUUCGUG
RNAcentral lists this ribosomal RNA (484 nucleotides) under uncultured bacterium. Its description in RNAcentral is "partial 16S ribosomal RNA". It matches the Rfam family "Bacterial small subunit ribosomal RNA", at positions 30 to 507 of the family's 1533-position model. The record is from RNAcentral.